This 253-nucleotide ribosomal RNA is filed under the name uncultured bacterium. RNAcentral's name for it is "partial 16S ribosomal RNA". It matches the Rfam family "Bacterial small subunit ribosomal RNA", at positions 524 to 776 of the family's 1533-position model. The record is from RNAcentral.
UACGGGGGGGGCAAGCGUUGUUCGGAAUUACUGGGCGUAAAGGGCGCGUAGGCGGCUUUGCAAGUGACGGGUGAAAUCCCUCGGCUUAACCGAGGAACUGCCUGUCAGACUGUGAGGCUUGAGACCGGGAGAGGUGAGUGGAAUUCCCAGUGUAGCGGUGAAAUGCGUAGAUAUUGGGAGGAACACCAGUGGCGAAGGCGGCUCACUGGACCGGAACUGACGCUGAGGCGCGAAAGCGUGGGGAGCAAACAGG